RNAcentral lists this microRNA precursor (107 nucleotides) under Canis lupus familiaris (dog). RNAcentral describes it as "mir-8834 microRNA precursor family". It matches the Rfam family "mir-8834 microRNA precursor family". The record is from Rfam by way of RNAcentral. Lineage: Eukaryota; Metazoa; Chordata; Mammalia; Carnivora; Canidae. RNAcentral also lists the same sequence under 1 other name.
AAGAGGAACAGCAACAGUGGCUGCGGCAAGCUCUCCAGCCCUGGAUUCAGCUCCUGCAGUAACUACGGAGCUCUCAGUCUGCAGGGUCCUGGAUGCUCCGGGGGCAC